RNAcentral lists this ribosomal RNA (250 nucleotides) under uncultured bacterium. RNAcentral's name for it is "partial 16S ribosomal RNA". It matches the Rfam family "Bacterial small subunit ribosomal RNA", at positions 523 to 771 of the family's 1533-position model. The record is from RNAcentral.
AUACGUAGGGGGCGAGCGUUGUCCGGAAUUAUUGGGCGUAAAGGGUUCGUAGGCGGUUAUUUAAGUCAGGUGUGAAAGGCAUAGGCUCAACCUGUGUAAGCACUUGAAACUGAAUGACUUGAGUUAAGGAGAGGAAAGUGGAAUUCCUAGUGUAGCGGUGAAAUGCGUAGAUAUUAGGAGGAAUACCAGUGGCGAAGGCGUACUUUCUGGACUGUAACUGACGCUGAGGCUACGAAAGCGGUGGGGAGAC